CCAGCGCCUGUCCAGUCACAGAGGUCCUCCACCAAGAGAUCCAGCAGCACUUUCGACAUACAGCAGGCGGAGAAGACACAAACAAACCCACUGUGCCACCUAAACCAUCUUGCAUCAGCACAUCCACAGCCAAGACUGGCGGUGGAAAAGCAUUGUCUCGCCUCAAGCACCUACAGCAGAGCGGAUCAGAAAAGAGCAAAACAAGCAAACAGAGAGAGGACUUCCUUAGAAACCAGGGUCAGCAGCAGUGAGCAGAAGUGAGCGACCCAAACCAACCUGACCUGACCGAAGCUUGUCCACCUCCUCCUCUGCUGUCUUCACCACCACUUCUUCAUCAGCAUCUCCUGACUGAAGCCCACAAUCCUUCACCCAGUUCCUCCUAGUCAAUCCUUUAUGCUUUUAAG
Puntigrus tetrazona (Sumatra barb) is the source of this 404-nucleotide long non-coding RNA. RefSeq lists it as uncharacterized. The record is from RefSeq and is a predicted model, not a curated record. The transcript has 3 exons. NCBI's taxonomy places the organism in Eukaryota, Metazoa, Chordata, Actinopteri, Cypriniformes, Cyprinidae.